This 673-nucleotide long non-coding RNA is filed under the name Homo sapiens (human). RNAcentral describes it as "non-protein coding lnc-GHRH-2:1". The record is from RNAcentral. Lineage: Eukaryota; Metazoa; Chordata; Mammalia; Primates; Hominidae.
CCCACAGUCCACAGGGGGUGAGAAACCUGCCGCACAGAGAGGAGACGGUCACGACAGGAGGGCUGAAAGAAUCAUUGUAAAAAUAAUCACCAUGGCUCACAGUCCUGGUGCAAGGAGUUUCCUGAGCAGGGAAUCGCUUCCAGGGACUCUGGAUGUAGCAUCUAGUUCAUUCUUCACAACGCAACAAGGGAAACUUAGGACCAGAGAAUAGAAGUGACUUGCCCAAACUCAAACUGCAAGUUUAUGACAGAGCCUGGACUAAGAUCAAGCUUUCUCAAUGUCACAAGAAUUCAGUAACAGCCUACUGUAUACAAGGCACCAGCCUAGGUCCUCAUCAUGGUGAAGGCUGGUGGGGAGGUUCAAAGAUUUGUCCAUGGGUCAACACCUCCCCAAGGCCAGGUCUCCAGGGACACAGACUCUGCCCUUUGAAGGCUCCAAGCCAGAAGAGGAAACAGACCCUGAAACACUAUGAGCAGGAGGGCCAGAGAGCGACACACUUUGGUAUCCAGGAGACCCAGCCCCACUGCCUGCAACCCUGCAACCUCCCUGUGCCCCACUGAGCUGCUCAGUAAAAUGGAACUAAGGAUGGUGCCAACUGUCAGUGAUGCUGAGAGGUACAACAAGGAGGUGAAAUGUGAGACCCUGUGCAUUGUGGACACCCAAUAAACAGUGA